GACCGCGUAGCUCAGUUGGCAGAGCAUUGGGCUAGUAUUCCAAAGGUCGUAGGUUCGAAUCCCACCGUGGUCG
Molecule: non-coding RNA, 73 nt
Organism: Paramuricea clavata
Lineage: Eukaryota; Metazoa; Cnidaria; Anthozoa; Malacalcyonacea; Plexauridae
Source: the annotation of a GenBank genome assembly